Long non-coding RNA from Oncorhynchus gorbuscha (pink salmon), 2375 nucleotides. RefSeq lists it as uncharacterized. The record is from RefSeq and is a predicted model, not a curated record. Lineage: Eukaryota; Metazoa; Chordata; Actinopteri; Salmoniformes; Salmonidae. The transcript has 2 exons.
GCUCCAUGGUGUUUAUACUUGCGUACUAUUGUUUGUACAGAUGAACGUGGUACCUUCAGGCGUUUGGAAAUUGCUUCCAAGGAUAAACCAGACUUGUGGAGGUCUGAUUUCUCCCCUGUGUGAGUCCGUAUAUGUUGAGUUAGGUUCCCGCUGCGAUUAAAGCUUUUCUCGCAGUCACCACAGCUAAAUUGUUUAUCUCCUGUGUGAAUCAUCAUGUGCUUGGACAGAACUCCUUCAAGUUUGAAGGUCUUGUCAAAAAAGGGGUAUGUGCUGGUUUUCCCACCAUGACACAGUCUGACAUGGGCCUUCAGUUUGCAGGUAGAGUUGUAGAAAUGUUUGCAGAAUUGGCAUUCACUGCGUUUCUUCUUGGCGAGAGUCACAUGCAUCUGCAGGUCAGAUUUUAGAGCAAAGGUUUCACCACAGACACAGCAGCUGAGAGUUUUUAUGUUUCUUAAAUGAUGGGUUGUGAUCCAAUGGUGGGCUGGGAUCUAAUGUUGGGCUGCUGUCGAGUCCUAUUGAGUCGCUGCUUUCGUCUGUGCUGUGGCUGGAUGCAUCGUUUUGAUUAUUUGGAGGGUCACAGGGAAUAUUGAGAGCCUUUAGCUGAGUCACAGUGCCAAAAGGUGUGAGAUUCACUUGUUUAGGGUCACACUCUCUGUUCUCCACAGUCUAGAUUUGAGGAGGAGUCAAGGGGUCCUCCUGACCACAUUUACUUGUCACACAGGCAGGAGUGAACAUUGUGUGUUUGGUAUCAAAGAGCUCUUGAAGCUGUUCUUCCUCCUGACUGAUUUGCCCCUCUUCCUCUUUAAUCUGUGUGGCUUCAGUGUUCUCUUGCCCCAGACUGAAGCUCCACUCCUGCUCACAGUGCUGAUGCUCAGGGAGAACCUCCUCUUCAGAGACAGCAAGAGAGAGCUGCAAGGAAUUUGGAAGGAAUGGGGGGGGGCUAAGGUUAUCCAGCCUUUAGACAGCAGGGUUACAGUGAAUUUGAAUUGAAAGGAGCAAUCUGCAGUUCAAACAAUAACAAAGCAGGUACCCCGUCACUGUUUUGGUAAAGGGGUGAGGCUUGCUAAAUGGAACCACUAUCAAAUUCAUAGACAGCGCUAUGGGUGAAAAGGACUGACCAGCUAUGAUAUCAAAAUGACAGUUUUAAACAUGUUGAGGCUAUAAAGUGUUUGUUUACAAUUACAUUGUUUAGAAACACUGUAGUAAAACAAGCUUAUAUUUGGGGUUCGAGGCAUCCAUAAAUUAUUAUUCUUCUUCAAGAAUCCAUGGGUAUAUUAUUCAUUUUAAGGUUUUAAAAAAUGUAUGUACCAAUCGCAGAUUGCAAAUCUAGAAUCUAUUUCCAAUUACCUCUCAAUAAACUAAAGUGAAAAAGCGAUUUAUUUCAAAAAAAUUGUCCAUUUAAAAAAAAUGAUAAAUUCAAAUCACUUCCAGGUUUUUGUGAUAUAGAACAGUUUUCUCCAUACUAGUAAACCACCACCUCCAGAGGUAAACAUGUUAAAUGAUUAAAUAGUUACUGUUAUGCAUGUGUUUUAUAAACUGCUAUGUUUAACACUUUUUUAUUUUCUUCAUAUAUCUAUAGCCCUUCGCACCAGUUUCCACCUCCUUCAAAAACCCCUGUAGCUUCCUCUAGAGAAGGAGCAUGACACAUGCUCUGCCUAAUAGGGCUGUUGCGAUAGCAGUAUCGCAAUAUUCUUUCCAUGUUUCCAAAAAUGAAAACAUGAAGCAGAUAAUACUUCGGUCCUUUAAAAACCUGCUGUAUGUAAAAUAUUGUGUGCUAUAGCUUGGAAAAUAAAUCAAUGUGACUCUGGAUGGAAAUAUAAUGAUGUUUGUUUCCACAUGUUACAUUAGGUCUGUUUUCCUGAAGAAGUUCAAUCCGCUCCGUGUUUUGGUUCCUUGGCACGAUACUAACGAGAAAAGAAAAGCUCCUACGGUCACCUCUGUCACGCCACCCUCAGUAGCUAAAAACACCAUCUGCUGUGCCCGCUGCGGGAGCGUGGUCCAUCUGCAAGCUCCCCUCAGGAGCGUGAGACGGAGGUGCCAAGUGUGUGCUGCGACUUCUGCCAGCACUGCACCCACUGCUGUUGUGUGCUGCAGGACACAGAGAGGGCAGUGGAGCUGGACUUUUAAUGCGAUAUGUGUGACAAUAUAGGGAUGGAGGUCGGGAUUUAGUUGUCUUGUUUGCUUUGAUGUAUGUAUUUAUGAAUCUAAUAUAUGCUAUUUAAUAUAUAUUUAUUCAAACCAUGUCUUGUUUUCUUUCCAAGUGUAUCACUGUAACACAGUGUUUUACUGUUCACGUCAAUACAUGUUUAUUUAAUGUCUAUUAUUCGUAUUCCUUUAUAUUUUUGCAUUAAACUAGUGUCUACUUUGUCAAAACA